RNAcentral lists this ribosomal RNA (456 nucleotides) under uncultured bacterium. Its description in RNAcentral is "bacterial SSU rRNA". It matches the Rfam family "Bacterial small subunit ribosomal RNA", at positions 340 to 786 of the family's 1533-position model. The record is from RNAcentral.
UACGGAAGGCAGCAGGGGGGAAUAUUGCACAAUGGGCGCAAGCCUGAUGCAGCCAUGCCGCGUGUAUGAAAAAGGCCUUCGGGUUGUAAAGUACUUUCAGUCGUGAGGAAGGUGUUAAGGUUAAUAACCUUAGCAAUUGACGUUAGCGACAGAAGAAGCACCGGCUAACUCCGUGCCAGCAGCCGCGGUAAUACGGAGGGUGCGAGCGUUAAUCGGAAUUACUGGGCGUAAAGGGCACGCAGGCGGUUAAUUAAGUUGGAUGUGAAAUCCCCGGGCUUAACCUGGGAAUGGCAUUCAAGACUGGUUAGCUAGAGUCUUGUAGAGGGGGUAGAAUUCCAUGUGUAGCGGUGAAAUGCGUAGAGAUGUGGAGGAAUACCGGUGGCGAAGGGCGGCCCCUGGGACAAAGACUGACGCUCAUGUGCAAAAGCGUGGGGAGCAAAACAGGGAUUAGAUACC